RNAcentral lists this transfer RNA (75 nucleotides) under Halanaerobiales bacterium. RNAcentral describes it as "tRNA-Gly". It matches the Rfam family "tRNA". From Rfam's summary of the family: Transfer RNA (tRNA) molecules are approximately 80 nucleotides in length. Their secondary structure includes four short double-helical elements and three loops (D, anti-codon, and T loops). Lineage: Bacteria; Bacillati; Bacillota; Clostridia; Halanaerobiales. The record is from RNAcentral.
GCGGGCAUAACUCAACGGUAGAGUGUAACCUUCCCAAGGUUAAAGCUGCGGGUUCAAUUCCCGUUGCCCGCUCCA